This 406-nucleotide ribosomal RNA is filed under the name uncultured bacterium. RNAcentral's name for it is "partial 16S ribosomal RNA". It matches the Rfam family "Bacterial small subunit ribosomal RNA", at positions 30 to 526 of the family's 1533-position model. The record is from RNAcentral.
AUUGAACGCUGGCGGCAGGCCUAACACAUGCAAGUCGAACGAGUGGCGGACGGGUGAGUAAUGUCUGGGAAACUGCCUGAUGGAGGGGGAUAACUACUGGAAACGGUAGCUAAUACCGCAUACCAUCAGAUGUGCCCAGAUGGGAUUAGCUUGUUGGUGGGGUAACGGCUCACCAAGGCGACGAUCUCUAGCUGGUCUGAGAGGAUGACCGGCCGACCUGUGGCGGCUACACGGUCCAGACUCCUACGUGAGGCAGCAGUGGGGAAUAUUGCACAAUGGGCGCGAGCCUGAUGCAGCCACGCCGCGUGUACGAAGAAGGCCUUCGGGUUGUAAGGUACUUUCGGCGGGGAGGCGUUACCCGCAGAAGAAGCACCGGCUAACUCCGUGCCAGCAGCCGCGAUAAUAC